UCUGAUCUACCAUCAUUGUUUAAUGUUCGGC
This 31-nucleotide non-coding RNA is filed under the name Homo sapiens (human). Lineage: Eukaryota; Metazoa; Chordata; Mammalia; Primates; Hominidae. The record is from RNAcentral.